GACCGCGACCCCCACAACUCCAGCUUCUCCGACGCAGGUGGAUUUUUGUACCAACAGGAUUGGCGCUAGAGGAAGGGCCUGAACCUUCGCAGUACCCUUGUUUGUUAAAGGAGCGCUCAACGGGACUGCCCCCGGACAUCAUUUUCGGUGCCCUCUCCUCCUUCCUCCACUUGGUCUUUAGCCGAUGCCUCCCCGUAAGGCAUCCACGCGACGAUCCACGACCUCCGCGGCCAGAUCUCAGGCUCCGGCCUCACCUUCAGUUUUCCAGCCUCCUCCUCCUCCUCCGGCAACGG
This 293-nucleotide long non-coding RNA is filed under the name Elaeis guineensis (African oil palm). RNAcentral describes it as "long non-coding RNA (EGUI_LNC068178)". The record is from RNAcentral. Lineage: Eukaryota; Viridiplantae; Streptophyta; Magnoliopsida; Arecales; Arecaceae.